RNAcentral lists this long non-coding RNA (586 nucleotides) under Homo sapiens (human). RNAcentral describes it as "non-protein coding LINC00592:8". The record is from RNAcentral. Lineage: Eukaryota; Metazoa; Chordata; Mammalia; Primates; Hominidae.
CUCAGGUCCUCUUGCUCACCCAUCAGCUGUGUAGUGUCUGAAGUGAUUAAGGAGCUUGGGGAGAGCCCUGAAUGGGAAGAAAUGGGUUCCAUGUGCAGCAAGCCAGGAGAGAUUUAGGCAACGAGAACCUCCAGUUCUGUCUUAGGGUUCCCAGCUUUCUCCUUGUCCUGAGGGAGCCGCUGAGCCUGUGGGAGAUGAGGGGUGCCCAUUCCCCAGUGCUUCUCACCCUCCCCCACCUGCCCUCCUGGGGUACCUUUGUCUGCCACUUGCAUCCUAUUGGAAGCUGUCCCCAAGUGCGUGUUAGGCAGGUGGCAGGUGCUGGAGCAGAGUGCACCACCCUCCGGCGAUCACUGUGAGUUGGGGUAAGAGUGGGGUGUUCCUGCCAGCCCCAGGAGAGGGGAAAGCAAGCCCCCGUCCACCCUUGUGGGUCUCUGCUCCUGGAAAAGGUGCUCUAGCAGGCUCAUCUGUGUGAGUCACUGUCUUCCAUGUGGGCCCCUGCCCAUCUGAGCAGCAGAGUUCAUCCCAUACCCUGCAGGGAGUCCAGCGCCACCAUGAUGUCCCUCUCUUCCCUCCUUGAGGCUGGCUG